UACGUAGGGUGCGAGCGUUGUCCGGAAUUAUUGGGCGUAAAGGGCUCGUAGGCGGUUUGUUGCGUCUGGAGUGAAAACCUCGGGCUUAACUCCGAAACUGCAUUCGAUACUGCGAUGCUUGAGGACUGGAGAGGAGACUGGAAUUCAUGGUGUAGCAGUGAAAUGCGUAGAGAUCAGGAGGAACACCAGUGGCGAAGGCGGGUCUCUGGACAGUUCCUGACGCUGAGGCACGAAGGCCAGGGGAGCAAACGGG
Molecule: ribosomal RNA, 253 nt
Filed under: uncultured bacterium
Lineage: Bacteria
Description: partial 16S ribosomal RNA
Rfam family: Bacterial small subunit ribosomal RNA
Source: RNAcentral